RNAcentral lists this transfer RNA (86 nucleotides) under Chloroflexota bacterium. Its description in RNAcentral is "tRNA-Leu". It matches the Rfam family "tRNA". Rfam says of the family: Transfer RNA (tRNA) molecules are approximately 80 nucleotides in length. Their secondary structure includes four short double-helical elements and three loops (D, anti-codon, and T loops). Further hydrogen bonds mediate the characteristic L-shaped molecular structure. tRNAs have two regions of fundamental functional importance: the anti-codon, which is responsible for specific mRNA codon recognition, and the 3' end, to which the tRNAs corresponding amino acid is attached (by aminoacyl-tRNA synthetases). tRNAs cope with the degeneracy of the genetic code in two manners: having more than one tRNA (with a specific anti-codon) for a particular amino acid; and 'wobble' base-pairing, i.e. permitting non-standard base-pairing at the 3rd anti-codon position. RNAcentral also lists the same sequence under 2 other names. Lineage: Bacteria; Bacillati; Chloroflexota. The record is from RNAcentral.
GCCGAAGUGGCGGAAUGGUAUACGCGGUGGUCUCAAAAACCACUGGGGGCAACCCCGUGUGAGUUCGACUCUCACCUUCGGCACCA